CGGAAAUACAGUUCAUGUAUAAAUUUCCGUCUUAUAUUUUGUUCAUGUAAAACUCAAACAUCGCCAUUAUAAAAUGGGAACUCUUGUCGUCUGCUUCGUAAGUGUUGUUCUAUGCUGUGUUGUGUUUUGUCAGAAUGAUGGACAAAAUGACGUUGAAAUGAGCGAAGGGGAAAUGAUUUUACUACAGAGACGAAUUAAUCGGAUAUAUCAAAAUUGCGAAAAAUGCAAAUUUUGUAGCAUAGGAUUCAGAUACUGUGGAAUAUGUAACAAUGGUAAUAGUCUUAGCUUUUGUGAAUUUUGUUCCGCUAAAUACC
This 314-nucleotide long non-coding RNA is filed under the name Mytilus galloprovincialis (Mediterranean mussel). The record is from RNAcentral. Lineage: Eukaryota; Metazoa; Mollusca; Bivalvia; Mytilida; Mytilidae.